CUUCGGCAAUGGGCGAAAGCCUGACCGAGCAACGCCGCGUGAAUGAUGAAGGCCUUCGGGUUGUAAAAUUCUGUUAUAAGGGAAGAACGACUUUAGUAGGAAAUGGCUAAAGUGUGACGGUACCUUAUGAGAAAGCCACGGCUAACUACGUGCCAGCAGCCGCGGUAAUACGUAGGGGGCUAGCGUUAUCCGGAUUUACUGGGCGUAAAGGGUGCGUAGGUGGUUUCUUAAGUCAGAGGUGAAAGGCUACGGCUCAACCGUAGUAAGCCUUUGAAACUGGGAAACUUGAGUGCAGGAGAGGAGAGUGGAAUUCCUAGUGUAGCGGUGAAAUGCGUAGAGAUUAGGAAGAACACCAGUGGCGAAGGCGAUUCUCUGGACUGUAACUGACGCUGAGGCUCGAAAGCGUGGGGAGCAAACAGG
RNAcentral lists this ribosomal RNA (420 nucleotides) under uncultured prokaryote. Its description in RNAcentral is "bacterial SSU rRNA". It matches the Rfam family "Bacterial small subunit ribosomal RNA", at positions 363 to 776 of the family's 1533-position model. RNAcentral also lists the same sequence under 1 other name. The record is from RNAcentral.